UACGGAAGGCAGCAGUGGGGAAUAUUGCACAAUGGGCGCAAGCCUGAUGCAGCCAUGCCGCGUGUAUGAAGAAGGCCUUCGGGUUGUAAAGUACUUUCAGCGGGGAGGAAGGCGAUGCGGUUAAUAACCGCGUCGAUUGACGUUACCCGCAGAAGAAGCACCGGCUAACUCCGUGCCAGCAGCCGCGGUAAUACGGAGGGUGCAAGCGUUAAUCGGAAUUACUGGGCGUAAAGCGCACGCAGGCGGUCUGUUUAAGUCAGAUGUGAAAUCCCCCGGGCUUAACCUGGGAACUGCAUUUUGAAACUGGCAGGCUUGAGUCUUGUAGAGGGGGUAGAAUUCCAGGUGUAGCGGUGAAAUGCGUAGAGAUCUGGAGGAAUCCGGUGGCGAAGGCGGCCCCUGGGACAAGACUGACGCUCAGGUGCGAAAGCGUGGGGAGCAAACGAGGAUUAGGAUACCCGG
Molecule: ribosomal RNA, 459 nt
Filed under: uncultured bacterium
Lineage: Bacteria
Description: bacterial SSU rRNA
Rfam family: Bacterial small subunit ribosomal RNA
Source: RNAcentral